CUUGAGAGAGUAACAUGCUGCUGAGACCAUCUGGACAGUGUACAUGACUGAACCCGGUUAAAGCCUUUAUAUAAACUUCUAAGAUGCUGGUGGGCAGCUACGGAGAUCUACUUGUCUUGCUGCCACACAAGAGAAGCCUCGCAUCAUGGCUUGCCAAGGAUCCGAACCAGCAAACCCCAGGCCACAGAAGCAGAAUGUGCACACUUAACCACUGCUCCACUGGGCAGGAGCCUCCACUUUUCUAUUUUUAUUGAGGCAAUAAUGGUCAAAGGGCAACAUGAAGUCAUCUGUAAGAUGUCACGGUGCAAAUUGAGUUCAGUCUGAUAAUCAACUCAAGAAUAAAGAAACCUAAUUUCACAUGUUCAAGAAAGACUCUAGCUGAUCUCUAGCCCUGUGGAUACUAGAGCAAAUUUCCUGAUAUCACCUGUUGGUCACCCUUUGCCUCAUUAAACGACUGUAGAUCAAUGAGCAUGCAGAAUCAGGAGACAGUUUCGUCCCAGGAAGGAAAAUUGCAGUCCAACUUCAAAGCAACACACCAGACCUCAGACGAAAGUGUUCCAGUUUGUUACUUUGCACGACUGUGUGUUUCAAUUUAUUACACUGAUGACUUACCUUGUACUACUCUGUGUUCAAUUAUGUAUUUCCUGUUCUCAUUACAGACCUUCAAACGACCGCAAAGAUAUAUUCAUUUAAUGCUUUUUCUGUUCUUUUAAAAUUUUUAUCACUCAGAAAUGAGGAAGAAAAUGGUUUGAACGUUAGCACUGGGUAUAAACUCAGAUUGAUUCUAUGUACUUAAAUUACUCUGAUAAUUGGAGCAAAGAAACUCUUUCACCUGAAAUAACCGAAUAGUAGCUAGAAAAAUAUAUUUGG
This 870-nucleotide long non-coding RNA is filed under the name Equus caballus (horse). RNAcentral's name for it is "lncRNA (ENSECAG00000055001.1)". Lineage: Eukaryota; Metazoa; Chordata; Mammalia; Perissodactyla; Equidae. The record is from RNAcentral.